GAAGAACCUUACCUACCCUUGACAUCCAGAGAAUCUGUUAGAGAUAGUAGAGUGCCUUAGGGAGAUCUGAGACAGGUGUUGCAUGGCUGUGGUCAGCUCGUGUCUUGAGAUGUUGGGUUAAGUCCCGUAAAGAGAGCAACCCUUGUCGUUAGUAUCCAGAUCGUAAUGUUGGGAACUCUAGGGAGACUGCCGGUGAUAAACCGGAGGAAGGUGGGGAUGACGUCAAGUCAUCAUGGCCCUUAUGGGUAGGGCUUCACACGUGAUACAAUGGCCGGUACAGAGGGUUGCGAACCUGCGAGAGUAAGCAAAUCCCAGAAAGCCGGUCGUAGUCCGGAUUGGAGUCUGCAACUCGACUCCAUGGAGUCGGAAUCGGUAGGA
This 378-nucleotide ribosomal RNA is filed under the name uncultured bacterium. RNAcentral describes it as "bacterial SSU rRNA". It matches the Rfam family "Bacterial small subunit ribosomal RNA", at positions 963 to 1340 of the family's 1533-position model. The record is from RNAcentral.